Molecule: ribosomal RNA, 427 nt
Filed under: uncultured Acidobacterium sp.
Lineage: Bacteria; Pseudomonadati; Acidobacteriota; Terriglobia; Terriglobales; Acidobacteriaceae
Description: bacterial SSU rRNA
Rfam family: Bacterial small subunit ribosomal RNA
Source: RNAcentral
AACGCGAAGAACCUUACCUGGGCUCGAAAUGGAGUGGACCGGGGUGGAAACAUCCCUUCCCCGCAAGGGGCUGCUCUAUAGGUGCUGCAUGGCUGUCGUCAGCUCGUGUCGUGAGAUGUUGGGUUAAGUCCCGCAACGAGCGCAACCCUUAUUACCAGUUGCCAUCAUUCAGUUGGGCACUCCGGUGAGACCGCCUCGGAUAACGGGGAGGAAGGCGGGGAUGACGUCAAGUCCUCAUGGCCUUUAUGUCCAGGGCUACACACGUGCUACAAUGGCCGGUACAAACCGUCGCAAACCCGCGAGGGGGAGCUAAUCGGAAAAAGCCGGCCUCAGUUCGGAUUGCAGUCUGCAACUCGACUGCAUGAAGCUGGAAUCGCUAGUAAUCGCGGAUCAGAACGCCGCGGUGAAUACGUUCCCGGGCCUUGUA